UACGUAGGGUGCGAGCGUUGUCCGGAAUUAUUGGGCGUAAAGAGCUCGUAGGCGGUGUGUCGCGUCGGCCGUGAAAACCUGCAGCUUAACUGUGGGCUUGCGGUCGAUACGGGCAUCACUGGAGUUCGGCAGGGGAGACUGGAAUUCAUGGUGUAGCAGUGAAAUGCGUAGAGAUCAUGAGGAAGACCAGUGGCGAAGGCGGGUCUCUGGACAGUUCCUGACACUGAGGCACGAAGGCCAGGGGAGCAAACGGG
Molecule: ribosomal RNA, 254 nt
Filed under: uncultured bacterium
Lineage: Bacteria
Description: partial 16S ribosomal RNA
Rfam family: Bacterial small subunit ribosomal RNA
Source: RNAcentral